CUGAGCCUUCAUGAAGUGGCCACAUUCUUAAAAGAACAAGGUGUUAUUAAUGCUAUCAACCUAGAUGGUGGUGGAUCAGCUACCCUAGUUAUAAAUGGAACAAUCGCUAAUUAUCCAUCUGAUCACUGGUAUGUAUUAAGGUUAAUGUAAGCGUUUUGAAAAGUGUGGGGGAGUUGUUGUUUUUUCUUUCUUUAUCGCAAACAUACUAAAUACAAAGAAAUGUUACUUUAUUUUAAAUUAUUCAGCUCAGAUAUACCCAUUUCUAGUGCACGUUAGAGUACAUAAGAUUUUUUUUUUUUUUAAAUUGGCAUAAUAAUUGCAUUGGACUUUCUUUAAAAUGUCAACAUAUUCAAAUGUUUUACUUAAACAGUAGGGAAGUUUAACCAUUAAAUAUGUCUGUAAAAUCUCAAUAAAAAUUUGUGUUCGCCACUAGUCAGUGUUGGUGGCCAAUGUCAUAGGCAAUACCUUCCUAUAAGAACCUGCUAUACAUAAGCAAAAGGACCCCAUUAAGUUUGAACGUCUAAUGUUCUAAAAAAAAACACAAAAUUCUAGUUUCAGUUAUGCACAAAUAUGAUAUGGUAUUCUGAGUGUUGACUCCACCUGUGAUAAGGGCAAAAAAUUUACAGAGUCAUAUUCUGUCCAGUUACAAUAUACAUACAGAUUUCCAACAUGUUUUCAGCUAGCCGGAUGUACUCUGCAACAAAGGUCACAGAUUAAAAAAAUAAAAACAACCCACCAACCUGUUACUUUACAGCAAAAAUGAAAUCAUCAAUUAAUAAAAAAUAAAAAAAAACAUCCAUUAACUGUUUUUGUUCAACCAUAAUUUUAAAUGGUUCUCUUUAAUUGCCCCCUUAAAUAUUAUUAUUAUUUAUUUUUUUUUAAAGGGACGUUGUUGGCACUAUAACCAUAUUAUCUAAUUGAUAAUCCCUGGCACUGUCCUUCCAUUCAGUGUUAAACCAUUUUCGAGCGGUUUAUUACAGAAUGAGGAUGACUUGCUUCCCACAGCUUUGCUCCCAAUGAAGGUAGAGAUUACACACUUCCUUGUAGCCAUACCAAUUCAUACCUGCAAUGAGCACAGCUUAAAGGGACAGUAUAGCCACCAAAACAACUUUACCAUAAUGAAGCAGUUUUUGUGUAUAGAACAUUCCUCUGAAGUCUCACUGUUCACAUCUCUGCCAUUUAGGAGUUAAAUCACUUUUGUUUCUGUUUAUGCAGCUCUAGCCACACCUUCCCUGGCUGAGACUGACACAGACUGCAUGAAAACAAACUGGUUUCAUUUUCAAUCACAUGUAUCCGUUUUUUUAUUUCUUGCUCUGUAAAUAGAACUUUAAUUACAUACAUGGGGCUCCUGCAGGGUCUUAUCUGCUAUUAACAAAGCAACAGAUAAGAAUUUGCAAUAAAGGAAGUGUACACAUUAGAUGACUUCUUACAGGAAGUGUGUAGGCUGUGCAAGUCACAUGCAGGGAGGUGUGACAGGGCUGCAUAAACAAAAUGAUAUAACUCCUAAAUGGCUGAGAAUUGUUUGGGUGACUAUAGUGUCCCUUUAAUCUGGUCAUUUGACACUCAGAUAAUCACAGCUGUCUGUUGCUGCAUAGGCUAAUGCUUUCUCGUUAGCUUAAGCAGCACAGAGAGGAUGGCUUGCUGGGUCUCUUGUUAUUAAAACCGUUUAACACUGAAUGAAAGGACAGGGCUAGGAUGCUCCUUACACUAUAACCACUGCAAUGAGAUGAAACCGUUAUGAUGCCUAGUGUGGCCCUUUAAAGGACAGCGAUUUUCUUUAAUAUCCUAUAUGUAUACCUGAUACAACAUUGAAAUGGUUAUUCACCAAAGUCUGACUAGCCCUUUACCGAAUGGAGCAAAACUAUUUGGCUACAGACCCCUUCGGACUGCAAAAUCCAGAAAUUGUUCGCAAUUUUUAACAAUAUACACAUAUUGUAUUGCAGUCAGAACAAAUGCCACCUGAUGGCUGAAAUCUGGACUGAAUUAAUUAAACCCAGAAUUAAUUAAAGCUUCAAAUCCAGCCCUGGAUUAAAAAAAUAUCUGAAUUAUUUACCUGCUGCACUGGGCAAAUAGUAAAAAAAAACCCUCUGAGACAUAAAUAAGACUUCCAUAUUACUGGCGACUGGCCAAAAUCUAAGUAAAUAAAAAGCUUCUGAGAGUCAAUAAGACUCCCAUAUUACUGUAAGGGAGGUUUUAAACCUCCCUAUUCCCCCACCUGCCAUGCAGCCAGCAGGUGCAGGCUAUUAUAAUAAGAUAGCAUUAAGAUUAAGUGGUCUGGUUGCCUUCGAUGUCCAUUUAAUAUAAAUUUACAUUAAUUCCAGUGACAAAUUUCAUUUAACAAGCAUUGUAUGUGGUAAUCCUGAAUUCACUUUUUAGGAACAUUACCACUAGCAAAUAACACAAUUUAGAACCAGAGCCUUUUAACACUUAAACAAGCACUGUUCUGUAUCCCCAUUAUUAAUGGUAUAAGAAGGUCUGCUGUUUUUCCGCACUCUUUACCGCAUUGUCCCUUUUUUUUUUUUGUCCUCAGUGCACAUGAGCCAAUGUGGCGCUGCUCAAGGAGUAUCUCUACAGUUUUAUGUGCUCACGAGCCUAACUGUGAUC
Molecule: non-coding RNA, 2604 nt
Organism: Pelobates cultripes (western spadefoot toad)
Lineage: Eukaryota; Metazoa; Chordata; Amphibia; Anura; Pelobatidae
Source: the annotation of a GenBank genome assembly